GAGAAACUCAGACUUUCAGACUGCAGUAUCACUGAAGAAGGUUAUAAAGCUCUGUCUUCAGCUCUGAGAUCAAACCCUUCACACCUGAUAGAGCUGGAUCUCACAGGAAAUGAUCCUGGACCAUCAGGAGUGAAGCAGCUCAGUGAUUUACUACAGGAUCCAAACUCUCAACUCAAGACACUGAGGUUUGUGGGUCCUGCUGCAGAUGAAGGCUGUCAGUAUGUGACUGGAAUUGUGGGUAAAAACCCGUUACUCCUGAGAGAGCUGAAUCUGAGUGAACAUGAACUAGGAGACACACGAGUGAAUCAGAUCGCUGCUCUACUGCAGGAUAAACACUGUACACUCAACACACUGAUUCUGAAGAACAACUGUAUCACAGAAGGAGCUUGUCAUGUUCUGGCUGCAGCUCUAAAUUCAAACCCUUCAAACCUCAGAGAGCUGGAUCUGAGCAGGAAUCAAAUAGCAGACUCUGGAGUGACAGAAAUCUCCAGUCUGCUGAGAAAUUCACAGACACUGCAGAU
Long non-coding RNA from Sinocyclocheilus rhinocerous, 521 nucleotides. RefSeq lists it as uncharacterized. Lineage: Eukaryota; Metazoa; Chordata; Actinopteri; Cypriniformes; Cyprinidae. The transcript has 4 exons. The record is from RefSeq and is a predicted model, not a curated record.